This 218-nucleotide ribosomal RNA is filed under the name uncultured bacterium. RNAcentral's name for it is "partial 16S ribosomal RNA". It matches the Rfam family "Bacterial small subunit ribosomal RNA", at positions 122 to 334 of the family's 1533-position model. The record is from RNAcentral.
UAAACCUGCCUCUUAGCGGGGGAUAACUAUUGGAAACGAUAGCUAAUACCGCAUAAAAGUCGACAUUGCAUGAUGUUGACUUGAAAGGUGCAAUUGCAUCACUAAGAGAUGGACCUGCGUUGUAUUAGCUAGUUGGUGAGGUAACGGCUCACCAAGGCGACGAUACAUAGCCGACCUGAGAGGGUGAUCGGCCACACUGGGACUGAGACACGGCCCAG